GAGACUCUGUGCGCGUGCAUAUCAAUAAGCGGAGGAAAAGAAACUAACAAGGAUUCCCUUAGUAACGGCGAGUGAAGCGGGAAGAGCUCAAAUUUGAAAUCUUCAAGGUUCUACCUUGACGAAUUGUAGUUUAAAGAAGUGUUUUCUGUUAGAUGAGUAGCAAAAGUUCCUUGGAAUGGGACAUCAUAGAGGGUGAGAAUCCCGUAUUUGGUUAUUCAUUCUAGCUUUGUGAUACACUUUCAAAGAGUCGGAUUGUUUGGGAAUGCAGUCCAAAAUGGGUGGUAAAUUUCAUCUAAAGCUAAAUAUUGGCGAGAGACCGAUAGCGAACAAGUACCGUGAGGGAAAGAUGAAAAGAACUUUGAAAAGAGAGUUAAACAGUACGUGAAAUUGUCAAAAGGGAAGCGUUUGACACCAGUGUUGUUUUUCCGAAAAUCAAUUACGAAUGGCUUGAUUCUGUGUUGUAUUGACCUUAUCAGCUUUCUUCACUUUUUUCGAGUCUUUCUUAAUGCACUUUUCGGUUAACAAGUCAACAUCAAUUUCUUUUGUUGUAAAAGAGUAUUCGGAAGGUGGCUUUCUUUUCGGAGAAAGUGUUUAUAGCCCUAUACUUCUACAAUCGGAGAGAUUGAGGUCUGCAGCGUAGAUCCUUCGGGGUUAGGAUACACUUGUGCUAAGUUGUAGCCUUUCAUAGACAACUUGUUGACUAUGUUUAGUCAUGCGGCUUACUCGCUUGUGCUAUUUUACCUACGCUUAGGAUGUUGACUGAUAUGUAGUCGUA
This 775-nucleotide ribosomal RNA is filed under the name uncultured Neocallimastigales. RNAcentral describes it as "partial large subunit ribosomal RNA". It matches the Rfam family "Eukaryotic large subunit ribosomal RNA", at positions 23 to 644 of the family's 3401-position model. The record is from RNAcentral. Lineage: Eukaryota; Fungi; Neocallimastigomycota; Neocallimastigomycetes; Neocallimastigales.